This 270-nucleotide ribosomal RNA is filed under the name unidentified soil organism R6-141. Its description in RNAcentral is "partial 16S ribosomal RNA". It matches the Rfam family "Bacterial small subunit ribosomal RNA", at positions 505 to 772 of the family's 1533-position model. The record is from RNAcentral.
GUGCCAGCCGCCGCGGUAAUACAGAGGGGGNAAGCGUUGUUCGGAAUUACUGGGCGUAAAGGGCGCGUAGGCGGCCCGCUAAGUCGAACGUGAAAUCCCCGAGCUCAACUCGGGAACUGCGUCCCGAUACUGGUGGGGCUUGAAUCCNGGAGAGGGAUGCGGAAUUCCAGGUGUAGCGGUGAAAUGCGUAGAUAUCUGGAGGAACACCNNUGGCGAAGGNGGNAUCCUGGACCGGCAUUGACGCUGAGGCGCGAAAGCUAGGGGAGCAAA